CACGUAGGGUGCAAGCGUUGUCCGGAAUUAUUGGGCGUAAAGGGCUCGUAGGCGGUCCGUCACGUCGGGAGUGAAAACUCGGGGCUCAACCCCGAGCCUGCUUCCGAUACGGGCGGACUAGAGGUAGGUAGGGGAGAACGGAAUUCCUGGUGUAGCGGUGGAAUGCGCAGAUAUCAGGAGGAACACCGGUGGCGAAGGCGGUUCCCUGGGCCUUACCUGACGCUGAGGAGCGAAAGCGUGGGGAGCGAACAGG
Molecule: ribosomal RNA, 253 nt
Filed under: uncultured bacterium
Lineage: Bacteria
Description: partial 16S ribosomal RNA
Rfam family: Bacterial small subunit ribosomal RNA
Source: RNAcentral